GCAGGCAUCAGUUUAUCAGGCGGCCUGCGGUGCACUUACAGCUCAAACUGUGAAGCCAUAUUGUUGUAAGGUUGAUGACAAAUGAGGUCAUGGCCUGUUUCAGUAUGAAGUGGGGGAAGGGGAAGCUUGCUUUCACCAAGAUCAAUCUGUACACUGUUGUCACAGAGAGUGUCCAGAAAACAUCAAAAGAGACGGGGCAAAUACUGCAGCAGCCACUGCCUUUUGUUUAAAAUAUGCCCCAGCAGAGCCGUCGCAAGGAGGGUGAGAGGCCCUGUGCAAAGUUGAUGUGCGAGGCCCUCUACAAUUUUGCGUGUGUGUGUGUGUGUGUGUGUGGUGGGGGAGGUUGCUGUAGCAAGGCAAGGCAAGUUUAUUUAUAUAGCAAAUUUCGAACAAAAUGGUAAUUCAAAGUGCUUUACAUAAAAUUAAGUAAAAUAAUCAUGAAGAACAAAACUAAAACAAGCAAUUUUAAAACUUUGGAAAUUAUUUAAAAAUUGACUUGAAUUUAAAACAGAAAUAGAAAAUGAUCUUACAGUUAAUACAUAAAAUACAGUGCAAUCAGGUCGGACAUCGCACAGUGCUCAUUCAAUAAAUGCACAGCUAAACAGAUGAGUUUUGAGUCUAGAUUUAAAUGUGACUAGUGUUUCAGCACAUCUGAUCUCUUCUGGAGGCUGAUUCUGGAAGCAAUGUAUUUUGGUCCUAGGUCUUUGAGUGACUUCUAGACAAGUAAAAGUACUUUAAAAUCAAUCUUAAAUGUAACUGGAAGUUAAUGAGGACUGGUGUGAUAUGCUCAGAUGUUCUAGUCAGAAUCCUGGCAGCAGUGUUCUGGAUGAGCUGCAGCUGUCUAAUGGUCUUUUUGGGAAGGCCGGUGUGGAGCCUAUUACAAUAGUCCACCCUGCUGGUGAUAAAGCAUUAACAAGUUUCUCCAAGUCUUGGCUGGAAACAAAACAUCUAAUUCUUGCAAUGUUUUUUAAAUGAUAGUAUGCUGAUUUAGUUACUGCUUUGACAUGACUACUGAAACUAAGGUCUGUCUCCAGAAUCACACCACGUUUCCUGUCUUGAUUUUUAGUUGUUAGACCCCUAGAGUCAAAGCAUGCAUUCACCUUAAAAACUUCAUCUUUGUUUCCAAAUGCAAUGACUUCAGUUUUUUCCUUGUUUAACUGAAGAAAGUUCUGGCGCAUCCAACUAUUAAUUUCAUCAAUGCAUUGGCAGAGGGAGUCAAUGGGGCUGUAGUCAUUUGGAGAUAGGGCUAGGUAAAUCUGGGUAUCAUCAGCAUAGCUGUGAUAGGCAAUUAGGUUCUUUCUCAUUAUUUUACUUAGAGGAAGCAUAUACAGGCUAAACAAGAGCGGUGCAAGAAUUGAACCUUGUGGGUCUCCACAUAUCAUGGAUGUCUACUUAGACUUAUGCUCUCCUAGACUCACAUAAUGAUCGCUCCUUUUUAAGUAUGACCUGAACCAUUUGAGUACCAUCCCAGAAAGCCCCACCCAGUUUUCCAGUCUCUCUAGUAGUAUGUUAUGAUCGACAGUGUCAAACGCAGCACUGAGAUCUAGCAAUACCAGCACUGAUAUAUUGCCAGAGUCACAAUUUAAGUUAAUAUCAUUUAUUAUCUUAAUGAGUGCUGUCUCUGUGCUGUAAUGCGGUCUGAAACCAGAUGUUUAAGUAUUUAUUCAGCUGAUUAAAAACUACCUUUUCUAUAAUGUUGCCUAUAAAAGGAAGAUUAGAUAUUGGUCUAUAAUUGCUCAAAAUGGUGUUAUCAAGAUUGCUCUUUUUCAGGAGGGGCUUAACAACUGCAGUUUUCAGGGAGUUUGGAAAAGUCCCAGAAAGAGAUUUGGUUCUAAACAGUUAAGCACACUUUUGAAAAAAGAUGUGGGAAGUGUGUCAAUAUAGCAAGUUGAUGAUUUUAGUUGCUGCACUAUGUCUUCCAAAAUGUUGUUUGUUUUCUUACUGACUAUUAUUGGAGCAAUAUCAUUAAUAACAUUCUUAACUUUUGAGUUGAAGGAAUCAAGGAGAAUAUCAACAGAGUCGGCAGAAAAUACUUGGUGUUAAAGAUAUGGCCUCUGUAAAUAGUACACUAGUGUUCUCGUUAGGGCUGCACUAUUAAUUGCAUGCAAUUGUCAUGCAUGUCUCGUCAGUAAAGCUGGUUCUGUGAUUAGCGGUUGAUGUCAAUAACCUGCUUUCAAAUGGAGCCGCACUUAAUAGACAGAGCCGUAGUUCGCUGACAAGCUACGCAAUAUCGCGUUCAUAACCGCAUGAGAUUCUUCUGCGAUUUUGAACGCAAUAAUGCACCACUUGUCAGCGAACUACGGCUCUGGUUAUUAAGUGUGGCUACAUUUGAAAGCAUAUCCUUCUGACAGAGACAGUUCUAGAGUAAGUGGUAGCAGAGAUCAAUAUAUCAAAGAAAAUACAGAAGUGAUCAGAUAGUACUACGUCCUUAAUAACAAUGAAUGAAAUGUUUAGAGCCCUACUGAUGAUUACAUCUAGAGUGUGUCCACCUUUGUGUGGGUCCAUGCACAUGCUGAAUCAAGUCAAAGGUAUUUAGAACUGUUAUCAUUUCUUUUGUAGUUUUUUUUUCUGCAUUGUCUAUGUGAAAAUUAAAAUCCCCUGCAUUAGCAAAACAGUCAAACUCUGAGGAAAUCAUUGAUAACGUUUCUGUUACCUCAACAAAAUGCUGAAGAGUAUUUUGGAGGCCUGUAAAUAAUAAUAAAAAGAAUGUGUUGAGCACCUUUUAGCACAACCCCUAAAUAUUCAAAAGACAAGUCAUGACCAAAUGACACUUGUUUGCAUUGAUAGACAUCUUUAAAAAAGCAGCUCCACCUCCACCUCUCCUAACAGUCCUGCAAACACUCAUGGAAGUGAAGUUAGGAAGGACUGCUUCAUUGAGGACUGUUGAACUGCAGCUGUCCUCUAGCCAUGUUUCAUUUAGAAACAUAAAAUCCUAAUUGUUUGUGGUUAUAAAGUCAUUGAUUACAAAAUGAUUAAAUUUUUUAGUGAGCGAAUGUUUAAAGAUGCUAACUUGAUGGCAGUGCUUUAUGUCAUUACAUCAGUUUUAGUUUGAUGCAUAUUAGAUGAGUUUGCCCUUCGGCUUAAGAUGGCCUUAAACUUUCUGUCACAUGAUAAAAGUGAAAUCGAGAAAGCUACAGGCACACUGGGUUCCCACUUGUUCUUUAAACAUUUGUGAAUGUUGCGGUUAUUAUAGCAGG
Carassius gibelio (silver crucian carp) is the source of this 3197-nucleotide long non-coding RNA. RefSeq lists it as uncharacterized. NCBI's taxonomy places the organism in Eukaryota, Metazoa, Chordata, Actinopteri, Cypriniformes, Cyprinidae. The transcript is spliced from 4 exons. The record is from RefSeq and is a predicted model, not a curated record.